AUGGACUCUUCGUCCGAGGCGCCGCUGCUGCCCAGCAGGGGGAACGAGCACAAGGGGGUGCCCGAUGAGGCGGGAGGCAAGCGGCCGUGGUGGAGGGAAGCGGCGGAGGAGUCCGGCCGGCUGGCCGCGCUGGCUGCGCCGAUGAUCGCGGUGGCGCUGCUGCAGCUGUUGAUGCAGCUCAUCUCCACCGUCAUGGUGGGGCACCUCGGCGAGGUCGCGCUCGCUGGCGCCGCCAUCGCCAACUCCCUCACCAACGUCUCUGGCUUCAGCGUCCUCAUAGGACUGGCAUGCGCAUUGGAAACUAUUUGUGGGCAGGCCUAUGGAGCAGAACAGUAUCAUAAAUUAUCCUUAUAUACCUACAGGUCCAUCAUUGUACUUCUUAUUGUGAGUGUGCCCAUCGCCAUUGUAUGGGUUUUCAUUCCGGAAGUACUUCCUCUCAUAGGUCAGCAACCAGAAAUUGCAAAUGAGGCUGGGAAAUAUGCAUUGUGGCUUAUCCCUGGUUUAUUUGCCUUCAGUGUUGCUCAAUGCUUUUCAAAGUUUCUGCAGUGUCAGAGCCUCAUCUUUCCUAUGGUUCUUAGCUCCAUGAUCACACUCGCUGUAUUUAUUCCUCUGUGUUGGUUCCUGGUUUAUAAAGUUGGUAUGGGUAAUGCUGGAGCUGCUUUAUCCGUCAGCAUCUGCGAUUGGGUUGAAGUGAUUGUUCUUGGUCUUUACAUCAAGUUCUCACCUUCUUGUGAGAAAACACGUGCUCCACUCACGUGGGAAGCUUUUAAAGGAAUUGGCAGUUUCAUGAGUUUGGCUGUACCGUCGGCUCUUAUGAUUUGCCUUGAAUGGUGGUCUUACGAGCUGCUUGUUCUGCUUUCUGGGAUCUUACCAAAUCCAGCACUUGAAACUUCUGUGCUUUCUAUAUGCAUAUCUACAGUGGUGCUGUUGUACAAUCUUCCUUACGGUAUUGGAACAGCUGCAAGUGUGCGCGUCUCAAAUGAACUAGGUGCUGGCAACCCAGAAGGUGCUCGCUUGGUGGUAGGUGUUGCUUUGUCGAUUGUAGUUUGUUCAGCAGUCCUGGUGAGCACAACUCUUCUAGCCCUGCGCCACUUCAUUGGAAUUGCAUUCAGCAACGAGGAGGAGGUUGUAGAUUAUGUCACCAGAAUGGUACCCGUACUUUCCAUUUCAGUCAUUACAGACAGCUUCCAAGGAGUCCUUUCAGGUGUUUCUCGGGGCUGUGGAUGGCAGCAUUUAGGCGCGUAUGUCAACCUGGGUGCAUUCUAUCUUGUUGGGAUCCCCGUUGCACUCUUUUUUGGUUUUACAAUGCAACUACGAGGAAUGGGAUUUUGGAUUGGCAUGAUAGCUGGUGGAGCCACACAGGUCACUCUCCUAUCUGUGAUAACUGCCACUACAAAAUGGGACAAGAUGGCUGACAAGGCUAAGGAGAGAGUAUUUGAAGACAGGCUUCCAACACAAUAA
RNAcentral lists this ribosomal RNA (1461 nucleotides) under Triticum aestivum (bread wheat). RNAcentral describes it as "partial small subunit ribosomal RNA". The record is from RNAcentral. Lineage: Eukaryota; Viridiplantae; Streptophyta; Magnoliopsida; Poales; Poaceae.